This 206-nucleotide ribosomal RNA is filed under the name uncultured bacterium. RNAcentral describes it as "partial 16S ribosomal RNA". It matches the Rfam family "Bacterial small subunit ribosomal RNA", at positions 568 to 774 of the family's 1533-position model. The record is from RNAcentral.
CGCGUAGGUGGCCCGGUCAGUCAGUGGUGAAAGCGCGGGGCUCAACUCCGCGUCGGCCAUUGAUACUGCUGGGCUUGAGCACUGUAGAGGCAGGCGGAAUUCCGGGUGUAGCGGUGGAAUGCGUAGAGAUCCGGAAGAACACCGGUGGCGAAGGCGGCCUGCUGGGCAGUAGCUGACACUGAGGCGCGCAGCGUGGGGAGCAAACA